UGGAAUAUCAAUUGGUUUUGACAAGUCUUAUUUUGCUUUUGGAGGCUAAUUUCUCCCAUUAAAGAAGCAAAACGAAGUAUCAUUAAAUUAUAACGUGUCUAAUAAUUUUAGUCUUCACGCUUUGUUUCAUAAAAACGAUUUUGUUUGCAUGGGGCAACUAUGCAAGCAAACCAGUUAUUUUUUUUAUAGACUUUGUUGUCUCAAUAAUCUUUUCUUUCAGGUUGUAUCUUCCCACUUUUUUUUCAAUAAAAUUGGACUUAAAAUAUGGCUGAAAUAAAAUGAACCAGUUAUUUUAUAAGAAUUGUAACAAAAUAAGAUG
Non-coding RNA from Schizosaccharomyces pombe (fission yeast), 319 nucleotides. Lineage: Eukaryota; Fungi; Ascomycota; Schizosaccharomycetes; Schizosaccharomycetales; Schizosaccharomycetaceae. The record is from the annotation of a GenBank genome assembly.